Molecule: long non-coding RNA, 510 nt
Filed under: Sorghum bicolor (sorghum)
Lineage: Eukaryota; Viridiplantae; Streptophyta; Magnoliopsida; Poales; Poaceae
Description: long non-coding RNA (SBIC_LNC014983)
Source: RNAcentral
UUGGAAAUCAUAAUUGAACUAAAACUCGUGCAAUCAUUCUUUUUGACAUCGUAAACUUCCUUGAACACCACUCUGGACACAUGAUUCUUUUGAGCCAUAACGUUACAGUACAAAAAGCAAGAAAAAGCAAUAGGUGGAUCAAAGAUGUUAGGCAUUAUUGGAGACGACAAAAUAUGUGGCAUUAUGGUGGAAAUCCAGGUAAUACAUUAAGAUAAAACAAAGAAAGAUAACAGUUGUUGGCGCUGGACUAUAGAUGGAGAAUGGUACAACGUGCAGUGCCUAUCGGAUCUGACCACCUUUGACAACACAAUAUAAAAAGCUAGGACAGAACGAAAAUAUAAUGCCACUACUUUUGCUUGUCAUUAAUUAUUUCUACUCAAUGGCAAGUAAUUUGAAUAAACACGGAUGACCGACUGGCGGGGUCUGCAAACUUUGUGGCAUGUAACCAAUUCCAGAACCAUAAUACUAAAUCCAUUUCAUCUUUCAGUCAUCAGUACAGUUGGUACUGGA